Molecule: ribosomal RNA, 433 nt
Filed under: uncultured bacterium
Lineage: Bacteria
Description: partial 16S ribosomal RNA
Rfam family: Bacterial small subunit ribosomal RNA
Source: RNAcentral
AACGAACGCUGGCGGCAUGCCUAACACAUGCAAGUCGAACGAGACCUGCGGGUCUAGUGGCGCACGGGUGCGUAACGCGUGGGAACCUGCCCUUAGGUUCGGAAUAACUCCCCGAAAGAGGUGCUAAUACCGGCUAAUGUCUCCGGACCAAAGAUUGAUCGCCUUUGGAUGGGCCCGCGUUGGAUUAGCUAGUUGGUAGGGUAAAAGCCUACCAAGGGUACGUUCGAUAGCUGGUCUGAGAGGAUGAUCAGCCACACUGGGACUGAGACACGGCCCAGACUCCUACGGGAGGCAGCAGUGGGGAAUAUUGGAAAAUGGGCGAAAGCCUGAUCCAGCAAUGCCGCGUGAGUGAUGAAGGCCUUAGGGUUGUAAAGCUCUUUUACCCGGGAUGAUAAUGACAUUACCGGGAGAAUAAGCUCCGGCUAACUCCGUG